RNAcentral lists this ribosomal RNA (560 nucleotides) under uncultured archaeon. RNAcentral's name for it is "bacterial SSU rRNA". It matches the Rfam family "Archaeal small subunit ribosomal RNA", at positions 319 to 879 of the family's 1478-position model. The record is from RNAcentral.
CGCCCUUCGGGGUGCACCAGGCGCGAAAACUUUACAAUGCUGGCAACAGCGAUAAGGGGACCUCGAGUGCCAGGAUACAAUCUUGGCUGUCGCGAUGCCUAAAAAGCAUUGCAUAGCAAGGGCCGGGCAAGACCGGUGCCAGCCGCCGCGGUAACACCGGCGGCUCGAGUGGUAACCGCUAUUAUUGGGUCUAAAGGGUCCGUAGCCGGCCGGAUAAGUCUUUUGGGAAAUCCAGCUGCUCAACAGUUGGGCUUUCAGAAGAUACUGUUCGGCUCGAGACCGGGAGAGGUGAGAGGUACUUCAGGGGUAGGGGUGAAAUCUUGUAAUCCUUGAAGGACCACCAGUGGCGAAGGCGUCUCACCAGAACGGAUCUGACGGCAAGGGACGAAAGCUAGGGGCACGAACCGGAUUAGAUACCCGGGUAGUCCUAGCCGUAAACGAUACUCGCUAGGUGUCAGCCACGGUGCGACCGUGGUUGGUGCCGUAGGGAAGCCGUGAAGCGAGCCACCUGGGAAGUACGGCCGCAAGGCUGAAACUUAAAGGAAUUGGCGGGGGAGCAC